RNAcentral lists this ribosomal RNA (499 nucleotides) under uncultured bacterium. RNAcentral describes it as "partial 16S ribosomal RNA". It matches the Rfam family "Bacterial small subunit ribosomal RNA", at positions 28 to 507 of the family's 1533-position model. The record is from RNAcentral.
GAUGAACGCUGGCGGCGUGCCUAAUACAUGCAAGUCGAGCGAACAGACGAGAGUGCUUGCACUCUCUGACGUUAGCGGCGGACGGGUGAGUAACACGUGGGUAACCUACCUAUAAGACUGGGAUAACUUCGGGAAACCGGAGCUAAUACCGGAUAAUAUUUAGCUUCGCAUGAAGCAAUAGUGAAAGACGGUUCUACUGUCACUUAUAGAUGGACCCGCGGUGUAUUAGCUAGUUGGUGAGGUAACGGCUCACCAAGGCAACGAUACAUAGCCGACCUGAGAGGGUGAUCGGCCACACUGGGACUGAGACACGGCCCAGACUCCUACGGGAGGCAGCAGUAGGGAAUCUUCCGCAAUGGACGAAAGUCUGACGGAGCAAUGCCGCGUGAGUGAAGAAGGUUUUCGGAUCGUAAAACUCUGUUGUAAGGGAAGAACAAGUACGUUAGUAACUGAACGUACCUUGACGGUACCUUACCAGAAAGCCACGGCUAAUUACGUG